AUUGAACGCUGGCGGCAUGCUUUACACAUGCAAGUCGAACGGUAACAGGGUGCUUGCACCGCUGACGAGUGGCGAACGGGUGAGUAAUGCGUCGGAGCGUGCCGAGUAGCGGGGGAUAACGCAGCGAAAGUUGUGCUAAUACCGCAUACGUACUGAGGUAGAAAGUGGGGGACCUUCGGGCCUCACGCUAUUCGAGCGGCCGACGUCUGAUUAGCUAGUAGGUGAGGUAAAGGCUCACCUAGGCGACGAUCAGUAGCGGGUCUGAGGGGAUGAUCCGCCGCACUGGGACUGAGACGCGGCACAGACUCCUACGGGAGGCAGCAGUGGGGAAUUUUGGACUAUGGGCGAAAGCCUGAUCCAGACAUGCCGCGUGUCUGAAGAAGGCCUUCGGGUUGUAAAGGACUUUUGUCAGGGAGGAAAUCCCUAGUGCUAAUAACACUGGGGGAUGACAGUACCUGAAGAAUAAGCACCGGCUAACUACGUGCCAGCCGCCGCCGUAA
RNAcentral lists this ribosomal RNA (500 nucleotides) under uncultured bacterium. Its description in RNAcentral is "partial 16S ribosomal RNA". It matches the Rfam family "Bacterial small subunit ribosomal RNA", at positions 30 to 523 of the family's 1533-position model. The record is from RNAcentral.